CCAAAUCCCUUUCUCCCUCCCUCCCUACCCGAUCCUUACUUUCCUUUCUCCCUUUCUCUCUCGCAUGCUCUCUGCUAGGCCCGAACGAUGACGGAAGGGGCUCAGGGAAUGGUGGUCGAUGGCGGCAGGGGGGUCGGGGUCGAGCUGUUCGGUGGCAGGGGGCUCGGGGCUGUGCUCGACAGCAACGACUGGUGGCUCGUGGCUGGGCUCGACAACAACGACUGAUGGCUCGGGGGGGCUCGACGGCAGGUGGGGGGGGUCUCGGGUCUGGGUUCGACGGCGCAGGGGCUGGGCAGAGGGCUAUUUGGCUUCGGGACUUUGAGAGACACGAGAGCUAUGGCCAUGGAGAGGAUCUAUCUUGGUGGAAAGAUUUGUUUUUUUAGCUCAUGUAUUAUUUAUUUCCAUUUAUUUAGUAAUCUCUUCCUCCUUUCCUAUCCAUAUGGGUUUUGUGUUUGAAGUGUUUUUUGCAUUUGGGUCCACCGGGAAUGAUCCUAGAUUGAUCUUCUCCUUCAAGGUCUCCUCCUUCCCACCGGGAAAGACCUCGCCGCCGACCUAAUUGCUGGCAAAUACAACUAUCGUCAACGCCUCAUCUUCCUCCUCAUUGCUCUUAAGCCUAUCUCCUUCUUCAUUUAGGUUUGUUUUUUGCUUCUUCCAGAUCUGUCUCAUUUUUAUUGUGCAAAUGCCAGCUAUUAUGAUCUCCGACAAUCUUCGAGGCUUCUCAACGAUUCUGUUCUUUGAAGAUAGAAGUAUCUUUUCGACAACUAUAGUAUUUGACAUUCUAGACUACAUUAUAGUUUAGAAGAUACUUCUUUCUAAAUAUUCAUGAUAUUGGUUUUCUUUGUUUUUGAGUUAAAAUUGUUUCAUUUUAAGCUUUAAAAUGACAAGUUGGAAGUUUGAUUCAUGUCUCAGCAUCUUCUGUACUUAUCAAGGACUAGGAAACUGCAGGAUUUAAUACAUGGAAAAAACUCCUGCUAGGUAUUUGAUCAAAUGCCUCUAUGUAAUGUGCUCAUUUGAUGAAGUUACUAUGCUUUACUUUAGUGAUUGGAUCUUGUUGAAUUUGCUAUAAAUAUCUUUUUUUUUUUUGCAAAAGAAAUUUGCUAGGAAAACUAUGAACAAGCUCACUCUCUGUUUCUUUGUCUAUCUUCUGAACUUUGGGCAAAAUAUCAACUAGAGAAUAUAUCUAAAUAUAAUUAUUAGUAGUAGUAAUUAAGUUCUAGUAGCUUCAGUAAUACCGAUUCAUGUCAUUUAUUUUUUUAUUAGUGUUUUGGUGGAAGGAUUAUUAUAUGCAUAUAUCUCUCUUAUCUUUUAGUAUAGUUCUAAUUGACCUACAUACCUUUAUAUAUAUAAAGGUAUGUACGUACAUAUAUAUAUAUAUUUCUUUGGCUUAGUGAUUUUAAAAGUACGGUAUAUAAGUUAUUAUCCUUGCUUGUUUGAAACUCUUUGUAUAUGUUUCUUUAUUAAGAUUUUUUAAAGGAUAUGAUAUUGGGUGCUGGGAGAUGUUAUUCCUUGUAAGUAAUUGCCAGUGAUGGCUGCACUGUUGUCUUGACUACUCAGGCUCAAUAAAGUAAUUAUCAGUAUUUAUUUUCUAUUAUGCUCAAUAAAGUAAUUAUCAGUAUUUGUUUUCUUUUAUUGAUUAAGUAGCAUUUAUUAUUGAGUUCAUGUAUCUCUAAUGAGAUUCAUUGGACCAAUUUUGACUUUUCUGGUCUUCCAUCUUUCCUCUACCUCUCAUAUCUCUCCAUGAACGUAAACCCAUUUCAGCUCAAGAUCUGUUCCAUUUUCAAGUUUGUAUUUUUUUUCUACAUUUUUAUUUCUACUCUCUUUGUCUCUCUCAGCUCCCUCUCUCUCUAUCUCUCACUCAUCUCUUUUUUGCAUUUCUUAACUAUAUCUACUUUUUUUUUUGUAUUAAUUUGUUCUCUCUUUUUCUUAUGUGAAAGGGGAAAGCUUUUGGUGAAAAUAGCUUCUCUCUCAGAUGCUCUAUCUCUCUCAUAUCAGAACCUAGCUUCAUAUUUAUGGCUGCUAAUUUUGAUGGAAUACUUGGACUUGGAUUUUAAGAGAUCUUGGUUGGAAAUGUUGUUCAGGUAAAUCUAUCUAUCUCAACCUCUAAACAUGCUGUAAAACUUCAAUUGAAUCUUCAAUUCAUGUUGUAAAAUGUUUAAUGAGAUUUAUAACCUCCUAAUGAUAAAUUAUUAUAACUUAACUUGUGGAUUUUUCUUAGAUGUUAGGGUAAUGAAUUGCCCUGUUUCUCUCUUUUGUGAAAUGAGAUUUAUAACCAUUUAUUUUGACUUGUCUUUUGUUUUGCAAUAGGAAAGGGAUGACUAAAGUGUGAUAAGUGCUUUUUCUAUAUACGCAUAUUAGGUCAACUUGCACCCAAUAUUUGAUGUCAAAUUAAUGAUAUAAAUUAUUUACUCUUAUUAUAGCUGACAUCCAACAUAUAGUAUUGUAAUUGAUUCUCUUUGCAAAAUGGAGAAAACUUAAAAGAGUUAUAUGAACUGAUGUUAUCGAACAGGGUUCUACCAGAUUCACUUUGAUCAAAGGCUAUAUGAAGGUUGAUAAAACACAAGUGUUAAUACUGGGUUCUUAUCAUAUAGUUUAUGUUCCAUAAUUAGCAUUAUACAAAUUAGGUAAUAAGUGGUUGCAUUACCCAGUUUGAUUGUGUUGUGUGUACCAAGACAUGAGAAAUCAAGUAAUUAAGUAAUUAAGUAGUACUAAUGUCUUAUCACUUAAGCUCCUUCCCACUUGAACCAUAACAUCAUAAUAAAUAAUAAGCCGACAUUAAAGUUUUAACGAAAUUAGAGAUUAAGAGGUGGAUUAUGAUUAAAAGGGUCUCUUAAAAGAUGCUUAAUUAUAAUUGUUGUGUGUAUACUUAUUUAUAAGUUUGAAUUAUAAUAUAUUUAUAAUUAAAGAAUUUUUUUAUAAUGUGCACGUCUAUAUUGAGAUGCAUUUUUUUGGCGCAAUACUAGGCAACAUUGACAAUUGAAGUUUUUAGAAUAAAAAAUAUAUUUCACUAACAUUGUAUACGUUUCUUGUUUAAUUAUUGGUGAUGAUAAAAUUUGAUUGUAGUAUAAACUAUCAUGUAAUAUGAUUUUGUAAGCCGAGUAGACUAAAUACUAAAAUGAUAUUUUUGAGUAAUUAUUAAAAAAUUAUUUUGUUGUA
This is a long non-coding RNA of Humulus lupulus (European hop), 3153 nucleotides long. RefSeq lists it as uncharacterized. The transcript is spliced from 2 exons. NCBI's taxonomy places the organism in Eukaryota, Viridiplantae, Streptophyta, Magnoliopsida, Rosales, Cannabaceae. The record is from RefSeq and is a predicted model, not a curated record.